GACGAACGCUGGCGGCGUGCUUAACACAUGCAAGUCGAACGGAAAGGCCCUGCUUUUGUGGGGUGCUCGAGUGGCGAACGGGUGAGUAACACGUGAGUAACCUGCCCUUGACUUUGGGAUAACUUCAGGAAACUGGGGCUAAUACCGGAUAGGAGCUCCUGCUGCAUGGUGGGGGUUGGAAAGUUUCGGCGGUUGGGGAUGGACUCGCGGCUUAUCAGCUUGUUGGUGGGGUAGUGGCUUACCAAGGCUUUGACGGGUAGCCGGCCUGAGAGGGUGACCGGCCACAUUGGGACUGAGAUACGGCCCACACUCCUACGGGAGGCAGCAGUGGGGAAUAUUGCACAAUGGGCGGAAGCCUGAUGCAGCAACGCCGCGUGCGGGAUGACGGCCUUCGGGUUGUAAACCGCUUUCCCCUGUGACGAAGCGUGAGUGACGGUAAUGGGUAAAGAAGCACCGGCUAACUACGUGCCACCAGCCGCGGUUGAUACGUAGGCGUGCGAGCGUUUCCCGGAUUUAUUGGGCGUAAAGGGCUCGUAGGUGGUUGAUCGCGUCGGAAGUGUAAUCUUGGGGCUUUUCCUGAGCGUGCUUUCGAUACGGGUUGACUUGAGGAAGGUAGGGGAGAAUGGAAUUCCUGGUGGAGCGGUGGAAUGCGCAGAUAUCAGGAGGAACACCAGUGGCGAAGGCGGUUCUCUGGGCCUUUCCUGACGCUGAGGAGCGAAAGCGUGGGGAGCGAACAGGCUUAGAUACCCUGGUAGUCCACGCUGUAAACGGUGGGUACUAGGUGUGGGGUCCAUUCCACGGGUUCCGUGCCGUAGCUAACGCUUUAAGUACCCCGCCUGGGGAGUACGGCCGCAAGGCUAAAACUCAAAGGAAUUGACGGGGCCCCGCACAAGCGGCGGAGCAUGCGGAUUAAUUCGAUGCAACGCGUAGAACCUUACCUGGGUUUGACAUGGAUCGGGAGCGCUCAGAGAUGGGUGUGCCUCUUUUGGGGUCGGUUCACAGGUGGUGCAUGGCUGUCGUCAGCUCGUGUCGUGAGAUGUUGGGUUAAGUCCCGCAACGAGCGCAACCCUUGUUCACUGUUGCCAGCACGUUAUGGUGGGGACUCAGUGGAGACCGCCGGGGUCAACUCGGAGGAAGGUGGGGAUGACGUCAAGUCAUCAUGCCCCUUAUGUCCAGGGCUUCACGCAUGCUACAAUGGCUGGUACAGAGAGUGGCGAGCCUGUGAGGGUGAGCGAAUCUCGGAAAGCCGGUCUCAGUUCGGAUUGGGGUCUGCAACUCGACCUCAUGAAGUCGGAGUCGCUAGUAAUCGCAGAUCAGCAACGCUGCGGUGAAUACGUUCCCGGGGCU
RNAcentral lists this ribosomal RNA (1347 nucleotides) under uncultured bacterium. RNAcentral describes it as "bacterial SSU rRNA". It matches the Rfam family "Bacterial small subunit ribosomal RNA", at positions 28 to 1381 of the family's 1533-position model. The record is from RNAcentral.